This is a long non-coding RNA of Mus musculus (house mouse), 1160 nucleotides long. RefSeq annotates it as predicted gene 13483. The transcript is spliced from 3 exons. NCBI's taxonomy places the organism in Eukaryota, Metazoa, Chordata, Mammalia, Rodentia, Muridae. The record is from RefSeq and is marked validated.
GAAGGCGAUCUAGUGUUUCAUUGGGUAAACUGGUGGAUCGGGGCGGAGCGGGACCAAGUUGGGAAUAUUUACAGGACUCGGUACCCGUCUUUGGGAGUUGCAGUUAAGAAAUUGCAUGAAUCUCAGAAGAGACUUUGAACUUUGAAGAAUUGUUGAGACUGUGAUAAGACUAUGGGGACUUUUGAAGUUGGACUAAGUUUAUGUUUUCAUUAUAACAUGGCUAGGUAUUGGUGUUCCAGACUACUUUUAACCCAUGAAGAUAAUGUAGUCCUUCAUCCACUUGAUUAUAUUACAUAUUGUUUGUGGCUCGAUCAAAGUAAUUACCUUUACCUGGACUGCCAACCAACACUUGGCUCCUGAUACUUUUCUGUGUCCUAAGGUAAGUUUGGAGGAGACAGUUGCAUGGAUACUACUCUGGGUGAAAAACCAGAAAACAGGUUGGUCUGCCAGAGAGUGAAACAUCUGUGGGACAAUGCCAGUGUGGCUACCUUCCCCAUGUGGUAUGGGGUAUAGCGUCUUCUUGCUGUAGUGACAGUUGUAUGCUUACUCUAACAGGUUAUAAGAAUUGCAGCCAAUGCCAAACCAACAGAGGAUAGAGUGUGAUUAGAUGGAAUUUCAGGUGUCCAUCCUCUGCUAUGUAUUAGUCGGUGUGUGCCUCUUUGAUGAAUGAGGUCUGCUACCUGCAUGCAGGAGUAUACUCCAAAAGAAUGAUUGUCAUUCACACUAUAACAUCUGGAAUUAGCAUGUAUAGGAUGGGAUCAUAUGUAGGCUGUGGCAAUUGUGUGAUUUUGCUGUGAGUGAUAAUAUAUGCAACCAAGGCCCAAAAAGAAACUGACCCAUAAAAGAAUUACAGGGGGAUAGGAAGACGGCUCAGCUGUUAAGAGCACUAGCUUCUCUUUCAGAGGACCCAGGUUCAGUACCCAUGUGGUGUCUCAUAACAUUUGUUACUCUGCUUCCAAGGGAAUCAAUAUAAUACUAUUCUGAUUUUCAUAGACACUGCACAAUACACUUAUAUGCAUGCAGGCAAACACACACAGGCACAGACACACAGACACCCCCCCCCCAAUGAAUUAAAUAAAAAUAAAACAAGACUUAUAAGUAAGGAAGGUAUGUGGAAACUAUCCUUAUUAUUGGCUUCUGAUUUGGCAGGAAAUGUGGGG